ACGGGAUGCAAGCCGGGGAGGGGUGCGGAUGGAGGCAGAUUUACCCCGUGGGAGCCCCUUCGAGGCGCCGCUGGGACACGGGCUCCCGUAUCUGCAGCACAGGACACCGAGGCACAGAAACCCCAAGUGGAAUCUCCUGUCUUAUUCCGGUACGAAGAGAUAUUCCAGUAAGAAGAGGUAGCCAAAAGGACAAGGAGAAAAUGUCCUGGAUGGUCACAGGUGCCGGCAAGUCCUUUAUAGGGACCCCAGCGCCUCCAGUCACUAAGCCGAGGUGGCCCUGGGGACCGCCAGGCACCGGCCUCGCCGUUGGCUCCAGCACAGAGUUCUGGCUCGAAGAACCACUGACGAUGCUCCAGGAGGCUCCUCAGGUCUCUUGCCAAGAGAUGCCCGAGAGGGAACAUUAGGAUGACGGAGGAUCGUUGAAAGCGUCUCCAGUCAGCUCUCAUGGCAGCUAAAGGACAAAAACAGUACGACGUUAUGUGGUCACCGGUGUGGGGUCGUGAGUGUUUCAUUUCUUUUCCAGUAACUGCAGUCUCCCCAGUGAAGGGGAUUCAGUAAAUGAUCUUUACUAUCUAAGCCUUUGUAGGAUGUUUCAGGGAACUAAAUGCAGGAAUGGGGGGGAGGGUGGCUGCAAGUGGCCCAGGGACGUCACAGCCUGGCUUAGGGAGCCUCCGUGUGGUGCGGGCAGCCCCGGCGGUACCCGUCCCUGUGUGCUUGGGGCCCGUCCCUGUAUUUGCGUUGGGGCCUCGCGAGGGGGCUGCCCAGCAAGCGGGCGUCCAAGCCCUGCAGCCCCGACUUCCCCCUCCUCUCUGGGGCUUUCGGCCGCAGGUCCGGCUGUAACCCUAACCUGUGCGGAGCUCCAGUUUGCAUUUCUUUAGGCUCUAAGGGACACCAGGGGUUCCUGGGACUUAAGGAUCCAGUAUCCCAUCUCGGGAAGAAAGGGGUCUGAUAGGAUCUGAUUAAAUCUCCACCUGCCUUCUGGGGAGACCCUUGCACCGCGAGUAUAACGCACCUCCAGGAAAGCAGGGGCCGCCUGCACCCGGCUCGGUCAACUUGCCGGAGGCGGCGUCCCACGGCGCGGCCACCAGUCAAGAAGCAGGACCCGGCCAGCGCGCCCAGAGGCCCCGGGCGCCUCUGCCUUUGGCCGGAAGCACACGCCACCGCUCGUGCUAUGGGACAGCGGCGCUGAGGUUGGGCCUGUUUGAAAAGUUUGUGUGGAAUAACGGUCAGUGCUGCUGUGUCGGGCUCUGUGCCUGCGCGGUCUGCCCGCGCUGCUGGGGGACCCUGAUCUGGGGGCCGGGGCCUGGGGUUCUGGGGGCUGGGGGCCUGGACGCUGGGGGGUUGG
This 1345-nucleotide long non-coding RNA is filed under the name Canis lupus familiaris (dog). RNAcentral describes it as "lncRNA (ENSCAFG00000053583.1)". Lineage: Eukaryota; Metazoa; Chordata; Mammalia; Carnivora; Canidae. The record is from RNAcentral.